UGGGGAAUAUUGGACAAUGGGCGCAAGCCUGAUCCAGCCAUGCCGCGUGAGUGAUGAAGGCCUUCGGGUUGUAAAGCUCUUUUAGCGGGGACGAUAAUGACGGAACCCGCAGAAAAAGCCCCUGCUAACUUCGUGCCAGCAGCCGCGGUAAUACGAAGGGGGCUAGCGUUGCUCGGAAUCACUGGGCGUAAAGCGAACGUAGGUGGGUCGCUAAGUCGGGGGUGAAAUCCUGGGGCUCAACUCCAGAACUGCCUUCGAUACUGGCGAUCUUUGAGUACGGGAGAGGUGGGUGGAACUGCGGGUGUAGAGGUGAAAUUCGUAGAUAUUCGCAAGAACACCAGUGGCGAAGGCGGCUCACUGGACCGGUAAUGACACUGAGGUGCGAAAGCGUGGGGAGCAAACAGG
Molecule: ribosomal RNA, 405 nt
Filed under: Bacillota bacterium
Lineage: Bacteria; Bacillati; Bacillota
Description: Firmicutes bacterium partial 16S ribosomal RNA
Rfam family: Bacterial small subunit ribosomal RNA
Source: RNAcentral